This 2415-nucleotide long non-coding RNA is filed under the name Homo sapiens (human). RNAcentral's name for it is "HSALNT0404404". The record is from RNAcentral. Lineage: Eukaryota; Metazoa; Chordata; Mammalia; Primates; Hominidae.
GUCGGCGGUCACCAGGCGCGGGACCUUGGUGCCGCCUUUCAACCUUUUGGGCUGCGAUGCUCUCUUUGGUGACCCAAUGUCGUUCUGGAUCCCUCCUGCUUUCCCACAUUAGGGUUACAAAGGCCAGAAGAUGGGGAAGGGAGAGGUCAUUCCCACUUCCCAAAGCGGGUGCUAUGGACUGAACUGUGUCCCGUCAAAAUUCAUGCUGUAGUUCUGACCCCAGCACUUCACGAUAUGACCUUAUUUGGAGACCGGGCCUUUAAAAUGAGAUGUCCUUGUAAAACGAGGCGCCGAGGACACAGACAUGCAGAGGCUCGGCCCUGCAUGGACACGGGGAGGAGGUGCCAGCCCAGGAGAGGCCUCAGGAACCAGCCCUGCUGCAGCCUGACCUGGGAAUUCGGCCUUCAGACCGCGAGGGCCUUGGUGUCUGCUGUGGAGGCCGCCGGGCCUGUGGUCCUUUGUGACGCCGGAUGCACACGGGGGAGUGCAGCCCUCACAAAGCUGAGACGGAGCUGCGGGUGGGGCCUCGGCACCUUCAGGACCUGCUCUGCGCUCCUGCUGGGUCCCAGCUGCUGAGUCAGAUGGGCUCAUCCAGAAACAAGCCAGCUGCCCUCCCUCCUUCCCCACAGCCUCACACUUGGGAGGCGGGGAGACUUCAGAAGUGCUUUGGUGCCAGCCCUGCCCCUGGCAGCUCCAGCUGAGAUCCUCGUCGACAAGGAGAACCCAAGUCCAAGGACAGCAAGAAGGGCCUUCUGGAGCUGAUAGCCACGCCCUUCCGGCUGCAGCCACGCCCUUUCUUGAUGACCACGCCCACUGCACGAAUGACCACGCCCUCUCGGUUGUGGCCACGCCCACUGCACUGGUGGCCACGCCCCCACCCCAGGGCUGCUUUCCCCUUUGAUAAAGAACAUCUUUUUAGAUGUCAGGGCCUGAAGGCCCUUGGGGAAGGUGAGCCUGUUCUUUAGGGCCCCAGGAAGGCAGCGUUUCCUGUGCUUAGGACUCCCUUCUCACGGUCCACACUGCCUCCCCAACUGACUUCAACGGGGCCUCAUGGCGCAGAGGUGCCCAGGGGAGCAUCAGGAGCUUGAGGGAUAGACGGUGGAGCCACGCGGGAGAAGCUUCAUCCCUGGCCCAGCCGAGCAACGCCCUCUCACGGGUUAGCACAGAAAUCCACUUUUUUGGGAGACACAAUUCAACUCACAGCAGUGACCAUGAGUGGAUGAACAGAGGUCAAUGGCAGGACGUGGUGACAGUGCAGGCGGGCGGAAGUCGAGAGGAAACUGAGUCUCUCGCAAGGCCGACCCGGCCGUGUGUACCCAAAUAGGAGGCAUCAGAUAAGAGUGAGGCCAGCCCGGAAAGCAGGUAGAACCCCUCGCUGGCCUCCUGCCUCAUCUGCUGCAACUGUCUCCCUGGAUCUGGGCUCCUACUCAAUGCAGCAGCACCAUCAGGAGCGGCUGCCACUGUGAUGUGUCAUCACCUGCAGGUGGCACGUCCCUGUGCCAGGCUGAGACUGGCACUUUGUGACCAACGUGCCCCGUGUCAUCAGCCCUGUGUCAUGCUGCGAGAAGCCAAGCCUGGCACUCCGAGGGGCAGGUGGGAGCUGGAGAUGCCUCGAGAAGCCCCUUUGGCAUCUGGACCCGACUCGGCCCCGGGCCGUCCUCUGGGGGCUCUCUGAUCCAUUGUCUGAGGACACAUGGUGGACUCACCACAGGGACUGAGGCUGAAUCACAAACUCCAGACCCCAGCAAGGACCUGGAGCAUCCUGGGUGUCCUGGCAUCCAGCUGAUGACCUCAGCCAUCAACACCUGGGAGAUUCCAGAGUCCUGGAUGCUGAGAGGCCUGGGCUUUAGGGCAAGGCCUGGGAGGGGAGGUGCUGGGCAGACGACUACCUGGAAGAAAUAGGAUGGGGCCUGGCAUGCUUCAGUGGGGCCUCAGUGUGGAGUGUGACACAGCGCUGAGGGACAUGGGGCAGGCUGGUCACACAGUGCUGGUCUCAGCCUGGCAUGAGGACAUACUGCUGCAAGUGACGGCACAUCACGGUGGCACCCCGCCCCCAAGAGUCGGGCUGCAUGACCGCAGGGUGGGAAGACGGGGGGCACUGCCAGGCCUGUCUGCUGUGGGCUCAGCCCAUACCCUCCAAGCUCAACCACUUCAAACCUCAUCACAUCGGGCAAUGAGAUAAGGGGCUUCACCCUUCCGGCACGUAUAGGAGGCAAGCCCCACUGUGACUCUGCGAAGACGGGUGCCUUCUGCCCUCCCUCCGAGCUGUGUGGCCACCUGCCUCGUCCCCACUCAACUCCUGAAACCCCCAGGGGCUCUGCUGACUUCUCUGUCAUCUUCAUACUGUGCGUGUGUGGUGUGUGUGCAUGUGUGUGAUGUGUGCGCGGUGUGUAUGUAUGUGUGUGAUGUGCCUGU